AGUUUUAAGCUGGUUGGUUAAGCACAUCAUUAAACAACAGACAUUUAUUGCUUUUUGUAAACACUGAACUGGCUGAACCAUGUCUACACUGGGCCCAUGCUGGCCUCGAACUUUCGACGACCUUGGAUGUACCACAUGGUUUCGUGGUAGGAGCGGGGCAGCACCUCGGUAACCGUGUCCGGAGACGAGAAGGUGUAGUAGAACGUGUUGGUGGUCACCUGGCUGCCCGUUUGUGGGUCCAUCACAUCUGCAACGGUCAUGAUCUGCACGUAGUUCUCCUUGGUGUACACCACAUAGGCGGUCAUCUUGAUGAAGCUGUUCACGCUGACGGGCUUCUCGAAGCUGAUGUCGGAUAUGUGCUCCAGCUUGGGUCGCGUUUUGCAGUAGAGGUAGGCUGCUGCCCAGCUUAUCUCCAGGGCACUUCGCAUGAGGAAGCCUCCGAAGACCCGGUUGUGGUGGUUCCUGUGCUCCGGAAAUGAGGGAAUAGUGCUCAUCUGGAAAGAGUCCUCCAUCCAGCGACAGUUUGGUGGCAGGAUGCGCUUGUUGAGUUCCAAAGUGUUGGUGGGAGUUGUCCUUUUGUACAGCUCGUACAUAAUUGUCUGCUCCGGGUCAUUGGGUUCCACCUUAAAGAUGGACUGAGCACAGAGAAUCUGACGUUUCUUCUUUCUAUCUGCGCCGCCAGCCAGAAUCACUUUCUCUUCCUCGUUGGCCGGCUGUAAGGGGUUCACAGGAGCCGCUCCGGUAUUGUUAGCGUUUCUUGCUGCCAUCAGGAACAAGGCACGGGUUAACUUUUGGUACCUCCCGCCAACCAUCUGUUCCAGCCACACUACCACCUCAAUUGAACUGGUUCCCACCCAGGAAACGUGCCCAGACAAACGGAUAUCUUGGGUGCCUGAAGCCAAGACAUUGGUGAAAUCGAUGCGGUCCACCAGAAUGGUCACAAAGGUGUACGGCAGAUGAACUCCCUCCGGCAGAUUGGGCAGAACCAGGUGUUUAUGACAGCACCAAGCUGGAAAUAGCGGAUAGUGAGAAAGUGCGCCAAGAUUCCAGCAAAUGUGUUCCUCAUACCAGCAAACAAGUCCAUGUCCUCCAGAAGUCGCCCGAAUCGCACAUUGCCCAGAUAGGUCACAUAUUUGUCCUGCAAACUGCGGUCCGUGCUCAGAGGAAUGAUGGCCGAGGUGAAGGAAUCCUGCAUAGCUCUUGGAGGCAGAUCCUCCAGCUUCGGCUGGUACUUGAGCAGCUGCUCCCUGGAUUUGGGCAGCGGGUUGUAACCGGGCUCCAGCCCCAAUCGCUUCAUCAUCCCCUGCUUGACUGCAGACGUUCGGGGAUUACGAUGGGUUUGACUCUGGCAAGACAACACUUACCCUCCGCCAUGGUUCCGGAUUCAUUGGCGACCGCUGAUUGCUUGAUAUGCGUGGGCGUAUUCCAUCAACUUGAGCCCACUGUUUACAGAAGUGAUACAUACGUAUGACGUCAUCCCGAUUGUUGUUAAUUUUAAACUGGGAAGCGAAGUUCCCUAGACAAUUUCUCAAAUUAACACAUUGUUUUGUGAUGCAUAAAUUAUGAAAUUAAGAGAUUGUACUGUUUGAAUAUUGACUAAUUGCUACUGUAUAU
Drosophila melanogaster (fruit fly) is the source of this 1614-nucleotide non-coding RNA. NCBI's taxonomy places the organism in Eukaryota, Metazoa, Arthropoda, Insecta, Diptera, Drosophilidae. The record is from Ensembl.